GUUCAAGGAAAUAAGAGCU
Molecule: ribosomal RNA, 19 nt
Filed under: Pylaiella littoralis
Lineage: Eukaryota; Phaeophyceae; Ectocarpales; Acinetosporaceae
Description: partial ribosomal RNA
Source: RNAcentral